CCUACGGGUGGCUGCAGUGGGGAAUAUUGGACAAUGGGGGGAACCCUGAUCCAGCCAUGCCGCGUGUGUGAAGAAGGUCCUCGGGUUGUAAAGCACUUUCAGUGAGGAAGAACGCCUGGUGGUUAAUACCCAUCAGGAAAGACAUCACUCACAGAAGAAGCACCGGCUAACUCCGUGCCAGCAGCCGCGGUAAUACGGAGGGUGCGAGCGUUAAUCGGAAUUACUGGGCGUAAAGCGCGCGUAGGUGGCUUGAUAAGCCGGUUGUGAAAGCCCCGGGCUCAACCUGGGAACGGCAUCCGGAACUGUCAAGCUAGAGUGCAGGAGAGGAAGGUAGAAUUCCCGGUGUAGCGGUGAAAUGCGUAGAGAUCGGGAGGAAUACCAGUGGCGAAGGCGGCCUUCUGGACUGACACUGACACUGAGGUGCGAAAGCGUGGGUAGCAAACAGGAUUAGAUACCCUAGUAGUC
This 465-nucleotide ribosomal RNA is filed under the name Vreelandella stevensii. RNAcentral describes it as "partial 16S ribosomal RNA". It matches the Rfam family "Bacterial small subunit ribosomal RNA", at positions 338 to 795 of the family's 1533-position model. The record is from RNAcentral. Lineage: Bacteria; Pseudomonadati; Pseudomonadota; Gammaproteobacteria; Oceanospirillales; Halomonadaceae.